RNAcentral lists this microRNA precursor (167 nucleotides) under Oryza brachyantha (malo sina). Its description in RNAcentral is "MIR812 microRNA precursor family". It matches the Rfam family "MIR812 microRNA precursor family", at positions 27 to 191 of the family's 205-position model. Lineage: Eukaryota; Viridiplantae; Streptophyta; Magnoliopsida; Poales; Poaceae. The record is from Rfam by way of RNAcentral.
UACAAUGCUUUGACUCUUCGUCUUAUUUAAAAAUUUUUUACGAUUAAUAUUUUAUAGUUACUAGAUGAUAAAACAUGAAUAGUACUUUAUGCGUGACUAAUUUUUUUAAUUUUUUUUAUAAAGUUUUCAAAUAAGAAGAAUGAUCAAACUUUGGACACAGAAAUCGA